Molecule: long non-coding RNA, 536 nt
Organism: Pygocentrus nattereri (red-bellied piranha)
Lineage: Eukaryota; Metazoa; Chordata; Actinopteri; Characiformes; Serrasalmidae
Source: Ensembl
UUUACUUAUCAUUGUAUUUUCAUUUUAAUCACUUGUCAUUGUAUUUGUGAUUCCUGGGUGUUUAAAAUGGUUUUAACUCUUAAUUAAGCUUUCCUUGUUUUUUGUGCAGAUUACAGCAUGCUUGUGUAUUUUUAACAUGUUGUUCUAUAUCAUCAUCAUUUUUAUUUAUAUUGUGCUUUUCCGAUACUCUAGGACAGUAUAUAAGAAAUAGAGACCACACUAAUAGCGCAGAAAAUCAAGCAGUACUGUAUUAUUUAUUCAGAAUUGAUCACCCUCUUCUAGGUUAGCUUCAGUGAGCUAAUCAGCUUUCCAGGACAAUUUGUAAGGCGAAACCUUUGUUGUUGACGUUUAAACAUAACAUACAAAAAAAUGUAAUAGUUGCUUUGUCUGGCUAUAAAAUCACUUUAAUCAUCCUGUAACAGAUGCAAGUGUCUCAUUUCAUGAAACAACCAAUCAAAACACCCAUCCUCCAAUCAAGUGACUCCAGAGCUGUCAGGAGGAAGACCAUCAAGCUACACCAAACGGACAUCUUCUGA